CCCUCCGUGGCGCAAUUGGUUAGCGCGUUCGGCUGGUAACCCGAAAGUUGGUGGGUUCGAGUCCACCCGGGGGCG
RNAcentral lists this transfer RNA (75 nucleotides) under Drosophila persimilis. It matches the Rfam family "tRNA". Rfam says of the family: Transfer RNA (tRNA) molecules are approximately 80 nucleotides in length. The record is from Rfam by way of RNAcentral. Lineage: Eukaryota; Metazoa; Arthropoda; Insecta; Diptera; Drosophilidae.